Molecule: non-coding RNA, 909 nt
Organism: Cricetulus griseus (Chinese hamster)
Lineage: Eukaryota; Metazoa; Chordata; Mammalia; Rodentia; Cricetidae
Source: RefSeq, a predicted model, not a curated record
GCACGCGGGUAGGGCAGGGGAAGGAGAAGACGAGAACACUUCCGGCAAGGCUCCGCAGAGGCGUGGUUUGUCUUCCCUUCAGGCGCAGGCGCAGUCGGAACUGCGGCGCCAGGAGGGGCGGGACCCAUAGCUGCAGAGCCCGCUAAGUGUGACUGAGGGGAGAGGAGGAGGGGACGGUUCUGGAAGCUGCUGGAAAGCGCCCGAGUGACGGAGGUGACGCCAGCGGCCAGGGGGCGGAGCGUGAUUAAAAUUAGUGCGCGGCCCUGAGCGGAGGGAUUACGCGGCUGAGGAAGGAGUGGUCGCCCGGCGGCGGCGUGCGCGCAGGCCCAGUGACCUGCGUGUGGUCCCCACUGGCCAGCCAUCAUGGCGGCCGCUUCCCAUAGUUCGUUCUCCCGGCCGCGGCGCCACCGUACGUGUUCACAAAGGGUCACCACACACGGAGCUGCCCCUCCCUUCCCUAAACCCCUCCUCGGAGGCCAGGGGCUUUUCCUUGCUUCCCUCUCAGAUCUGCUCACGGUAGAGGAAUGUGUGUGUAACUUCACAAGUGAGUUCUGAUUAGCCCACAGCAACCAGCAUAACCUCACAAAUGCAAUGCAGUUAAAAAGAAGGAAACGUCACAGACUAGUCCUUUGGAGGCUGGCGGCCAGCGGUCCAACAUCACCCGCCUCACGACCAUCUGCAGGAAGACCAUCACUUGGUGUAUUGCUGGUGAUGGAGGAGUGAGUCAGAACAUAUCCCUGCACUGCGGCCCACUAAGCUGCCAGCGUGGGACCCCGUUUUGAGAUCACAUAAGGAUGCACCUCUGCCAAGUGUUGCCUGUUCCAGUGUAAGGUGAUCAGAGCUCUGGAACCCACCAGUGAUGACUUUCAGUGGAUGUUCUCAGCGUUAAAUAAAAUCUAAAAGUCAUGA